GCAGCCGCCGCGGGAAUACGUAGGGUGCGAGCGUUAAUCGGAAUUACUGGGCGUAAAGCGUGCGCAGGCGGUUCGUUAAGACAGAUGUGAAAUCCCCGGGCUUAACCUGGGAACUGCAUUUGUGACUGGCGAGCUAGAGUAUGGCAGAGGGGGGUAGAAUUCCACGUGUAGCAGUGAAAUGCGUAGAGAUGUGGAGGAAUACCGAUGGCGAAGGCAGCCCCCUGGGCCAAUACUGACGCUCAUGCACGAAAGCGUGGGGAGCAAACAGGAUUAGAUACCCGCGUAGUCCCUGUCUCUUAUAC
This 302-nucleotide ribosomal RNA is filed under the name uncultured bacterium. RNAcentral describes it as "partial 16S ribosomal RNA". It matches the Rfam family "Bacterial small subunit ribosomal RNA", at positions 508 to 807 of the family's 1533-position model. The record is from RNAcentral.